RNAcentral lists this ribosomal RNA (1221 nucleotides) under Priestia aryabhattai. RNAcentral's name for it is "bacterial SSU rRNA". It matches the Rfam family "Bacterial small subunit ribosomal RNA", at positions 1 to 1214 of the family's 1533-position model. Lineage: Bacteria; Bacillati; Bacillota; Bacilli; Caryophanales; Bacillaceae. The record is from RNAcentral.
UUGGUAUACUACGCUAGAGUUAGAUCUGACUCAGGAGUCGUAACAAGGUAACCGCAAGAGUUUGCAUCCGGACCCCAUGAGUAAUCGUGGGGAACCUGCCUGUAAGACUGGGAUAACUUCGGGAAACCGAAGCUAAUACCGGAUAGGAUCUUCUCCUUCAUGGGAGAUGAUUGAAAGAUGGUUUCGGCUAUCACUUACAGAUGGGCCCGCGGUGCAUUAGCUAGUUGGUGAGGUAACGGCUCACCAAGGCAACGAUGCAUAGCCGACCUGAGAGGGUGAUCGGCCACACUGGGACUGAGACACGGCCCAAACUCCUACGGGAGGCAGCAGUAGGGAAUCUUCCGCAAUGGACGAAAGUCUGACGGAGCAACGCCGCGUGAGUGAUGAAGGCUUUCGGGUCGUAAAACUCUGUUGUUAGGGAAGAACAAGUACGAGAGUAACUGCUCGUACCUUGACGGUACCUAACCAGAAAGCCACGGCUAACUACGUGCCAGCAGCCGCGGUAAUACGUAGGUGGCAAGCGUUAUCCGGAAUUAUUGGGCGUAAAGCGCGCGCAGGCGGUUUCUUAAGUCUGAUGUGAAAGCCCACGGCUCAACCGUGGAGGGUCAUUGGAAACUGGGGAACUUGAGUGCAGAAGAGAAAAGCGGAAUUCCACGUGUAGCGGUGAAAUGCGUAGAGAUGUGGAGGAACACCAGUGGCGAAGGCGGCUUUUUGGUCUGUAACUGACGCUGAGGCGCGAAAGCGUGGGGAGCAAACAGGAUUAGAUACCCUGGUAGCCCACGCCGUAAACGAUGAGUGCUAAGUGUUAGAGGGUUUCCGCCCUUUAGUGCUGCAGCUAACGCAUUAAGCACUCCGCCUGGGGAGUACGGUCGCAAGACUGAAACUCAAAGGAAUUGACGGGGGGCCCGCACAGCCGGUGGAGCAUGUGGUUUAAUUUCAAACAACGCGAGAACCUUACCAGGUCCUUGGACAUCCUCUGACACUCUAGAAGAUAAGAGCGUUCCCCUUCGGGGAAAGAAGUGACAGGUGGUGGCAUGGGUUGUCGUCAGCUCGGUGCCGUGAGAUGUGGGGUUAAGUCCCCGCAACCGAGCGCAAACCCUUGAUCCUUAAGUUGCCAACGCAUUUAAUUGGACACUCUUAGGUGACCGGCCGGUGAACAAACCUGAGAAGGUGGGAUAUAGACGCUCCAAUCACUCAGUGCCCUUAAUGAAGUACCUGGGC